GCAAGUCGAGCGCGAAAGUACUUCGGUAUGAGUAGAGCGGCGGACGGGUGAGUAACGCGUAGGAAUCUAUCCAGUAGUGGGGGACAACUCGGGGAAACUCGAGCUAAUACCGCAUACGUCCUAAGGGAGAAAGCGGGGGAUCUUCGGACCUCGCGCUAUUGGAGGAGCCUGCGUAGGAUUAGCUUGUUGGUGAGGUAAAAGCUCACCAAGGCGACGAUCCAUAGCUGGUCUGAGAGGAUGAUC
This 243-nucleotide ribosomal RNA is filed under the name uncultured bacterium. RNAcentral describes it as "partial 16S ribosomal RNA". It matches the Rfam family "Bacterial small subunit ribosomal RNA", at positions 57 to 305 of the family's 1533-position model. The record is from RNAcentral.